AGAGUUUGAUCAUGGCUCAGGACGAACGCUGGCGGCGUGCUUAACACAUGCAAGUCGAGCGAGGCUCUCUCCUUCGGGAGGGAUGUCCUAGCGGCGAACGGGUGAGUAACACGUGGGCAACCUGCCCUCCGCUCUGGGAUAACCCCGGGAAACCGGAGCUAAUACCGGAUACGACCUCGGAAGACAUCUUCUGAGGUGGAAAGAAUUUCGGCGGAGGAUGGGCCCGCGGCCUAUCAGCUUGUUGGUGGGGUAACGGCCCACCAAGGCGACGACGGGUAGCCGGCCUGAGAGGGCGACCGGCCACACUGGGACUGAGACACGGCCCAGACUCCUACGGGAGGCAGCAGUGGGGAAUAUUGCGCAAUGGGCGAAAGCCUGACGCAGCGACGCCGCGUGAGGGAUGAAGGCCUUCGGGUUGUAAACCUCUUUCAGCAGGGACGAAGCGAAAGUGACGGUACCUGCAGAAGAAGCACCGGCCAACUACGUGCCAGCCGCCGCGGUAAUAC
Molecule: ribosomal RNA, 506 nt
Filed under: uncultured bacterium
Lineage: Bacteria
Description: bacterial SSU rRNA
Rfam family: Bacterial small subunit ribosomal RNA
Source: RNAcentral